Molecule: long non-coding RNA, 1051 nt
Organism: Zingiber officinale
Lineage: Eukaryota; Viridiplantae; Streptophyta; Magnoliopsida; Zingiberales; Zingiberaceae
Exons: 2
Source: RefSeq, a predicted model, not a curated record
CCAUCUCCCUCGUCAAUUCUGAUGGCCCGUCGGUCGGGCUCAAAUUCUGCGCUUAUAAAAGGAGGGUUGGAUGAAAACCGCAGGCAGAAAACGACGGCGGCAAUUGGGCAAUCGCCUUCCGCGUAUCAAGUGUAGAGCGUGCCAUUGCCACAUACUGACCGAUUGUUUUAGUCUUGGACCGAACUCUUAAAUCUACCAUGGCGUUAGAAACUUUAAUUAAUGUUUGAUACGCGCAAACAAGUUUAACUGAAGAAGAAAGUCAAUCUAUGUUCUUCCUUAGCAAGGAAGAAAAUAACCAUUAAAUUUCGUCCUUAAGCUUCAUACUCGAUCUGUUCCUCUACAUAAUUAAGAUGCAUGUCUCCAUCUCCUCUUAAUUCUUCCAGUCUCUUCUUUUGUAGUGGAUCACUACUACAAGCGGCGGGCGGACGAUCGGCGAUGGAACCGUCGCCGCCGCUGAUGACUACUCUCCGGCUCAUUUCAUCGCCUGGUUAUGAUACCUCCCACCUCAAUUUUCCAUUUUAUUGGUUCAUUAUGUGACAAUUUAUUCAUGUUAUAACUGUUUAAUCCGAGAUACUUGCUUCUGUGUGGAUUUCCCAUCAUGUCUGACUGUAAUUUUGCGACUAAUUUAACUGUUCGAUAUGAUUUUGAGGUCGCCUUAGCCUCCUGUUAGAACUGCUGCCAAUCUCCUGUUAAAGCGGUUGCCAGUCGGAUAGGUGGAGAUGGCGGAAGGGUAUUGACGGCCGCGAUUUCAUGAUCAGCUCUUUUACACCCAGUUCGGCUGUCUGGUUUCAUGGCCAUCUGAGUAUCUCCCGUUAAAACGCCACCGUGGGAGUUGGAUAGGUGGAGGAGAAAGAACAUGAUGCCGUAAUUGACACGCCGUUUGCCUUGACAAUAGCCCGACAACGCGUGGCAGAAUACUGUUCGGCACGAAGGACGGACGAAAGCAGGCGAAAGUUUCGUGCAACACGCCAACACGCAAUUUCUGCGAUAUUUCCGACGCUUAAAUUUGUGGGUCAGAUUUUGUUUUAACAAGAUGCAAAGUUCUUUACUA